Molecule: RNA transcript, 2380 nt
Organism: Gadus morhua (Atlantic cod)
Lineage: Eukaryota; Metazoa; Chordata; Actinopteri; Gadiformes; Gadidae
Gene: c22h6orf136
Gene name: chromosome 22 C6orf136 homolog
Exons: 8
Source: RefSeq, a predicted model, not a curated record
GUCAUUAGUCCAUUACAUCCGACCGAUAUUUACCAUGGAACUAACUAUAUGACCGAGCUAGCUAGACCUCCUCGGUUGAUUUACUACACAACAUUUUGGAUAUAUAGUAAGGUACGGUGGAUUUAACCCGGGUUCCUGCACGCUGCUGCGGUGCUUCUGGUUCUGGGGACGUGACCCCGGCGAAUGGUUCACAUAUUUUUUCUUAAAAAGGAGACGCUGCCAGAUCCAACGUCACUGUAAGCAGAGGGAUAUUUUUAAGGUCACAAGAAAGUGUUUACAUCUCCGUCUAAUUCCUCAUAUUUCGGACCUUCUGAGUGUUUGAGUUGGGCAGUUUUGGGGGAACCUGCGCUUCGCUAACGUGAGGCGUGUGGACCUGGACAAGGGCACUGAAGAGGGGAAUGACAUCUGUCAAUUUAAUGUCUCCAAGUCCAGUCCGAUUGAUGCGUUGCCAGUAGUAGUAUCCAACAAGAAGAACCACACACUCCUCUCCUAGGUGGUCUGGCUGCUUUGUGUGGUGGUGAUGUUCCAUUGCUAAUUGAGGUAGCCUCUGCCCCUGUCCUGAAUGGCUGUGUGCAGAGGGGGUACGGCCUUCUGGGUGGGUUGUGUCAGGAGCAAUGGCCCCCGACAGCCCAUCACGAGUCGGCAGUGCAGCCUCCCACAGGCGGUGGUGUGGCAGUGGGCUGGACAGACCCGACCCCUGAACAGCGCAUCGCGGGCCCUCUCUCCCCCACACGCUCUGAGGUACCAGGCCGUCAAGCAGCCCCUCCUUCCCAAACCACUCCUCCCGGCCGGCCAACUCCACAAGACGGGCCGCCUGGAGGAGGAGUGGGAGGACUCGCUCAGCGUGUGUGUCCUGGUGCGAGCGCAGGAGCCCGGCGGCCAUCCCACCCUGGUGGAGAUCCCCCUGUUCGGACGGGCGAGGCUAGGGGAGCUGCUCACGGCAGGCGCCCCGAGGCCCAAGGAGCCCCCCUUCACACUGACCACGGUGGACGGCCGCCGUGAGGAUGACAUUAGCCUGGUGGUGAGGGCGGGGCACGCGGCCGGCGGCAAGGACACGGCCAGCGUCCCCGAGCGCGAGCACAGCACCUUCCGGAACCUCUUCCGGGUGGAGAAGUGUCCGGCGCCCUUCGUGCACGGGUCCGUGUUCUACUGCUUCCACUGCCCGGGGACGGACCCGGCGGCGGUGGCCAGCUCAGCCACGGCCGCCGGGCUGAAACGCAGGCAGGUGGUCGGACUGGAGGGGCGGCCCCUGGAGCACCCUCUGUCGCUGUCCAGCUUCCUGGGUGACCAGGUGGAGGGAGCCCAGGGGCAGGCGGAUGGGGAGCGGGGCGACGAGGAGGAGGAGAAGAUGGCCUUGAUGUAUGAAAGACUUAGAAUAGAGCUUCCAAACUUCUUCCGGAAGAGCCAUGACUACACCAUGUAUUCCAGCGACCUAGAGUUUGUUAACGGACUUACCAACACCCACACCAGAGGGCGCCUGCUGUACCAGCUGGUCCUCUCCCUGUGGCGGGUGCUCUGCCUGUUCUACUACGCAGAGGCCCGGCUGGAGGUGCUGAAGCUGACCAAGCACAUGGAGGACGGCACCAUCAAGGCGCGCUGGAGGGUCCACGGACUGCCCUUCCACAGCGUGUGUCUUCGCUUCUACCGGAAGGACAUGUCCCAGCUAUACAGGUCAUAUGAUGCAUUCUCCACUUUCUACAUUGGGCACGACGGACUCAUCCGCUGUCACAAGGUUGAAAAGGUGAUGGAGGCGCGGCCCCCGCUGCUGCCCAAGCUCGGCACUCUGCUUGCGGGGGCCCUGGUGGCCCUGGGAGUGCAGGAGCACCGGCCCGCCCUCAACCUGCUGCCGCUCUUCUUCCUGUCCCGACGGCAGGGGCGGGACUGACCCCCGGAGGAGGGGAGGAGCGGGCGGCCAUGGUGAGACUGCUGCGGGGUCAGGGGUCGUUAAGAGGCCAUGGUGGAGAGCCAGGUCCCUGAUGUAGACCCCCUGGGGGAGAGGACCUCAUCCAGGUCCCUGAUGUAGACCCCCUGGGGGAGAGGACUUCCUCCAGGACCCUCGCUCAGCAGCAUGGACGUGGCACUACGUGAUUCCAGAGAUUACCGCUUUAUUUGCUGCAUACUCAAUGAGGUUUUUGGUGAAACAUGCUUGAUAGUAAUGGAGAAAUGACCAUUAUUUCACUGUAUUUAAACUUUCACACAAACCAGUUCUCCUGGUAGUUAGUGCUUCAAAGCAUGCCAUAUUUCCAUUGCAAUACGUCAGUAAAUAUGCUGUUUGUUAGGUCUAUAGCAAGUCCAUCCAUGUUCUAAGAGUAAUGUUAGCCAAGGCAUUGAGACCUAUGUUAAUCCUGGUUGUGUGAAUAAAAUAAGUGUUUAACUAUGA